Long non-coding RNA from Homo sapiens (human), 1835 nucleotides. Ensembl annotates it as maternally expressed 3. Its record names the gene MEG3. The record is from Ensembl. Lineage: Eukaryota; Metazoa; Chordata; Mammalia; Primates; Hominidae.
GCAGACGGCGGAGAGCAGAGAGGGAGCGCGCCUUGGCUCGCUGGCCUUGGCGGCGGCUCCUCAGGAGAGCUGGGGCGCCCACGAGAGGAUCCCUCACCCGGGUCUCUCCUCAGGGAUGACAUCAUCCGUCCACCUCCUUGUCUUCAAGGACCACCUCCUCUCCAUGCUGAGCUGCUGCCAAGGGGCCUGCUGCCCAUCUACACCUCACGAGGGCACUAGGAGCACGGUUUCCUGGAUCCCACCAACAUACAAAGCAGCCACUCACUGACCCCCAGGACCAGGAUGGCAAAGGAUGAAGAGGACCGGAACUGACCAGCCAGCUGUCCCUCUUACCUAAAGACUUAAACCAAUGCCCUAGUGAGGGGGCAUUGGGCAUUAAGCCCUGACCUUUGCUAUGCUCAUACUUUGACUCUAUGAGUACUUUCCUAUAAGUCUUUGCUUGUGUUCACCUGCUAGCAAACUGGAGUGUUUCCCUCCCCAAGGGGGUGUCAGUCUUUGUCGACUGACUCUGUCAUCACCCUUAUGAUGUCCUGAAUGGAAGGAUCCCUUUGGGAAAUUCUCAGGAGGGGGACCUGGGCCAAGGGCUUGGCCAGCAUCCUGCUGGCAACUCCAAGGCCCUGGGUGGGCUUCUGGAAUGAGCAUGCUACUGAAUCACCAAAGGCACGCCCGACCUCUCUGAAGAUCUUCCUAUCCUUUUCUGGGGGAAUGGGGUCGAUGAGAGCAACCUCCUAGGGUUGUUGUGAGAAUUAAAUGAGAUAAAAGAGGCCUCAGGCAGGAUCUGGCAUAGAGGAGGUGAUCAGCAAAUGUUUGUUGAAAAGGUUUGACAGGUCAGUCCCUUCCCACCCCUCUUGCUUGUCUUACUUGUCUUAUUUAUUCUCCAACAGCACUCCAGGCAGCCCUUGUCCACGGGCUCUCCUUGCAUCAGCCAAGCUUCUUGAAAGGCCUGUCUACACUUGCUGUCUUCCUUCCUCACCUCCAAUUUCCUCUUCAACCCACUGCUUCCUGACUCGCUCUACUCCGUGGAAGCACGCUCACAAAGGGCUAAUCUCGGGCCUUGUCGAAGGAAGAGGCUGCAGACGUUAAUGAGGUUAGCUGCUGGAUUCCAGUAUUCGUCGCAUAAGGAUCCUUCUUUGUCUGCGAAGGAAAAACACACUGAUUAUCAUAAUGAGUUCCUGACCUGGCCAUCCCGGGGUGCCCUUGACCAGCCCCGUGUCUCCUCAGGGUGUCCCAGCACCAGCCUGGCACAGAGUGGGGCUCAGUUAGAGUAUGUGGGAUGUUGGUUUCGCCAGGCACGUGGGCCGUGGCCCGGCUGGGUCGGCUGAAGAACUGCGGAUGGAAGCUGCGGAAGAGGCCCUGAUGGGGCCCACCAUCCCGGACCCAAGUCUUCUUCCUGGCGGGCCUCUCGUCUCCUUCCUGGUUUGGGCGGAAGCCAUCACCUGGAUGCCUACGUGGGAAGGGACCUCGAAUGUGGGACCCCAGCCCCUCUCCAGCUCGAAAUCCCUCCACAGCCACGGGGACACCCUGCACCUAUUCCCACGGGACAGGCUGGACCCAGAGACUCUGGACCCGGGGCCUCCCCUUGAGUAGAGACCCGCCCUCUGACUGAUGGACGCCGCUGACCUGGGGUCAGACCCGUGGGCUGGACCCCUGCCCACCCCGCAGGAACCCUGAGGCCUAGGGGAGCUGUUGAGCCUUCAGUGUCUGCAUGUGGGAAGUGGGCUCCUUCACCUACCUCACAGGGCUGUUGUGAGGGGCGCUGUGAUGCGGUUCCAAAGCACAGGGCUUGGCGCACCCCACUGUGCUCUCAAUAAAUGUGUUUCCUGUCUUAACAAAAA